CAAGUCGCACGGGGUAGCAAUACCCAGUGGCGCACGGGUGCGUAACACGUAGACAACCUGCCCUUAAGAGGGGGAUAACGUUCCGAAAGGAGCGCUAAUACCGCAUAAUGCCAGUGAUGGAGAAAGGCUGGGACCAGCAAUGGCCAGUCGCUUUUGGAGGGGUCUGCGGCCCAUCAGCUAGUUGGUAAGGUAAUGGCUUACCAAGGCAAAGACGGGUAGCUGGUCUGAGAGGAUGAUCAGCCACACUGGUACUGGAACACGGACCAGACUCCUACGGGAGGCAGCAGUGGGGAAUCUUGGUCAAUGGGCGCAAGCCUGAACCAGCGACGCCGCGUGAGUGAUGAAGGCCUUCGGGUUGUAAAGCUCUGUGGGGAGGGACGAAAGACUGAGGUCUAAUAGGCUUCAGGUUGACGGUACCUCCUUAGCAAGCACCGGCUAACUCUGUGCCAGCAGCCGCGGUAAGACAGAGGGUGCAAACGUUGCUCGGAAUCACUGGGCGUAAAGGGCGUGUAGGCGGGAAGGAAAGUCAGAUGUGAAAUCCCCAGGCUCAACCUGGGAACUGCAUUUGAAACUCCCUUUCUUGAGUACCGGAGAGGAAAGUGGAAUUCCUGGUGUAGAGGUGAAAUUCGUAGAUAUCAGGAGGAACACCAGUGGCGAAGGCGGCUUUCUGGACGGUAACUGACGCUGAGACGCGAAAGCGUGGGGAGCAAACAGGAUUAGAUACCCCGGUAGUCCACGCUGUAAACGAUGAGUGCUAGGUGUCGUGGGUAUUGACCCCCGCGGUGCCGUAGCUAACGCAUUAAGCACUCCGCCUGGGAAGUACGGUCGCAAGACUAAAACUCAAAGGAAUUGACGGGGGCCC
This 862-nucleotide ribosomal RNA is filed under the name uncultured delta proteobacterium. RNAcentral describes it as "bacterial SSU rRNA". It matches the Rfam family "Bacterial small subunit ribosomal RNA", at positions 58 to 922 of the family's 1533-position model. The record is from RNAcentral. Lineage: Bacteria; Deltaproteobacteria.